This 501-nucleotide ribosomal RNA is filed under the name uncultured bacterium. RNAcentral's name for it is "partial 16S ribosomal RNA". It matches the Rfam family "Bacterial small subunit ribosomal RNA", at positions 899 to 1397 of the family's 1533-position model. The record is from RNAcentral.
ACUCAAAUGAAUUGACGGGGGCCCGCACAAGCGGUGGAGCAUGUGGUUCAAUUCGAAGCAACGCGCAGAACCUUACCAGCCCUUGACAUGUCCCGUAUGGACUUCAGAGAUGAGGUCCUUCAGUUCGGCUGGCGGGAACACAGGUGCUGCAUGGCUGUCGUCAGCUCGUGUCGUGAGAUGUUGGGUUAAGUCCCGCAACGAGCGCAACCCUCGCCCUUAGUUGCCAUCAUUUAGUUGGGCACUCUAAGGGGACUGCCGGUGAUAAGCCGCGAGGAAGGUGGGGAUGACGUCAAGUCCUCAUGGCCCUUACGGGCUGGGCUACACACGUGCUACAAUGGCGGUGACAGUGGGCAGCAAAGCAGCAAUGCUGAGCUAAUCUCUAAAAGCCGUCUCAGUUCGGAUUGGGGCCUGCAACUCGGCCCCAUGAAGUCGGAAUCGCUAGUAAUCGUAGAUCAGCACGCUACGGUGAAUACGUUCCCGGGCCUUGUACACACCGCCCGU